CGCUGGCGGCAGGCCUAACACAUGCAAGUCGCAGGAGAAGCACCCUUCGGGGUGUGGAGACUGGCGCACGGGUGAGUAACGCGUGGGAAUCUGCCCUGGGGUGGGGAAUAACCGCUGGAAACGGCGGCUAAUACCGCAUACGCCCUUAGGGGGAAAACUCCGGUGCCCUGGGAGGAGCCCGCGUUAGAUUAGCUUGUUGGUGAGGUAAGAGCUCACCAAGGCGACGAUCUAUAGCUGGUCUGAGAGGAUGAUCAGCCACACUGGGACUGAGACACGGCCCAGACUCCUACGGGAGGCAGCAGUGGGGAAUAUUGGACAAUGGGCGCAAGCCUGAUCCAGCCAUGCCGCGUGCGUGAAGAAGGCCUUAGGGUUGUAAAGCGCUUUCACUGGUGAAGAUGAUGACGGUAGCCAGAGAAGAAGCCCCGGCUAACUCCGUGCCAGCAGCCGCGGUAAUACGGA
RNAcentral lists this ribosomal RNA (459 nucleotides) under uncultured Alphaproteobacteria bacterium. Its description in RNAcentral is "bacterial SSU rRNA". It matches the Rfam family "Bacterial small subunit ribosomal RNA", at positions 34 to 529 of the family's 1533-position model. The record is from RNAcentral. Lineage: Bacteria; Pseudomonadati; Pseudomonadota; Alphaproteobacteria.